Corticium candelabrum is the source of this 893-nucleotide RNA transcript. RefSeq lists it as uncharacterized. The transcript is spliced from 4 exons. NCBI's taxonomy places the organism in Eukaryota, Metazoa, Porifera, Homoscleromorpha, Homosclerophorida, Plakinidae. The record is from RefSeq and is a predicted model, not a curated record.
AUAACACGAAAACGCUGGAGAGAGUCUGGGAUCAUACCGCCUACCGUUUAUGCUGUUAGAUGAUCAUCUUAGCUCAAAGUCUCUUGGACGUGGACGCGUUUCUCCUGCGAUCGCCAAUAUAUCUCUUACGUUGAACAACCUGCAGGAUGUUUUCAGAAGACGUACAAGACACGGUGAUUGCAGCAUUUGAACCUGUGUAUGAGUACCUUCUGAACUCUCGUCUGAGCAGAUUCGUGAAAUGUUUUGUCGUCAUCAUCAUUCGGUAGAAUGUCUUCCACAGCUAAAUCUCCUCGAGUGCAUUGUGGUAAUUCUGUUGUGUUGUAAUCAGGUGGGGGAAGUCUGGCUACUUUGACAGCCAAACGGCUCGUGAAGUUCCAUGCCUCUGCAACGAUCCAGUCUCCAUGUUGAAGCUCUCUGUUCUGCUCUAUUGCCUUUGCAGCGUUUUCCACAUACCUAAAAGUUUGACUAUAUGACAAGCAGACACCCAUAUGGUUAAGAGUAGUAAUGACUUGUUUACUAGUUGCCCUGGCAACCAACAUCAAACUAACUAGAAGCUGAAAACCUUUGACCUUGUCACUUGCCUUCUUCGCUAGUAAGCAGACUGCUGCCAAGCUGUAGAUAUCUUUUGGUCCUGUAGUGGUGUCAGUUUGGCCUAUCGAGGAAAGCAGUGAUGUAAUUUUGGGAGCGUGUGUAAGUAAUUGGCUGUGUAGAUUAUGUAAACUAAAGUCUGCAGUCAGUGAAGAUGCAUCUGCUGCAUCAACUGGACCUGUUGACAUGAUUCCUCCAGCUCUCUGUAGCGCAUUCAGCUCUGCGUUAAUUUCUGUACCUACUUGAUGCCACUGGAUAGAUUGACUCUCAAUAAUUGAUUGUUGCAGUUCAGCCUCCAAGUCUUG